Long non-coding RNA from Mesocricetus auratus (golden hamster), 840 nucleotides. RefSeq lists it as uncharacterized. The record is from RefSeq and is a predicted model, not a curated record. Lineage: Eukaryota; Metazoa; Chordata; Mammalia; Rodentia; Cricetidae. The transcript is spliced from 4 exons.
GCUCAGUGUUCAAAAAGAACAUAACAUUCUGUUUCUUUCAGAUAUGGGCUUCCUCAGACCAGAGGUAAGGGAACAUGUUCUGGUAAGGGCUGCGGCAGAUGUCCCAUCUGCGGUGUCUUCCAUGAUGUCUCAGUUAUGUCUUCACCAUCUUGCCCUUGUUGAGAACAUGUGGGACCAGUAAACAACACUGUCCUCCACCAAGUCAUGGAGCAGAGUGGAGGACCACAGUGAUGGCCAAAGAUCCCAUAUGAAAAGGUGGAAAAUUACCAGUAUUAAUACAGCCUCAGACCAGCCCAUGCUCACCUUGAAUUUAUGCGAUAGCCAAGGAUGACCCUGAACUUCUAAUCUCCCUGCCCCCAUGUUCUAAGUGCACCCUCAUGUCAGGUUUACGCAGUACUGGAUUGUAAACCCAGGACUUCUUGCUUGCUAAGCAAGCUCUCUACCAAUUUAGCCCUGUCCAGUGCCGAAGUCUUUAAAAAGAAAAGUGAAUGGAAGCAGAUACAGAAAUCCACAACUAACCAUUGGGCCAAGCUCCUGGAGUACAAUCAAAGUGAAGGAGGAGCGAUAAUAUCAACAAAGCUGACCAUGAUGAGAGAAACUCAUAGAAUCAGCUGACUCGAGCUAGAGAGAGAUCACUGAGUCUGGUCUGACAAAUGGGGAAGCUGCAUGAGACCAAAUUAGACUCCCUUCAUAUAGGUGACACUGGUGUGGCCACUGGCAGUGAGUCCAAGAUCUAACUCUGAUGCACAAACUGACUUAGUGGAGCCCAGUCUAUAUGGAGAGAUACCUUGGCCAGCCUAGACACAGGGGUGUAGGGGUGGAGAGGUGCCUUGGCCCUGC